GACGAACGCUGGCGGCGUGCUUAACACAUGCAAGUCGAACGCUGAAGCUCAGCUUGCUGGGUGGAUGAGUGGCGAACGGGUGAGUAACACGUGAGUAACCUGCCCUCUUCUUUGGGAUAACGCCCGGAAACGGGUGCUAAUACUGGAUAUUCACUGAUUCUCGCAUGGGGGUUGGUGGAAAGGUUUUUUCUGGUGGGGGAUGGGCUCGCGGCCUAUCAGCUUGUUGGUGGGGUGAUGGCCUACCAAGGCUUUGACGGGUAGCCGGCCUGAGAGGGUGACCGGUCACAUUGGGACUGAGAUACGGCCCAGACUCCUACGGGAGGCAGCAGUGGGGAAGAUUGCACAAUGGGCGAAAGCCUGAUGCAGCGACGCCGCGUGAGGGAUGGAGGCCUUCGGGUUGUAAACCUCUUUCGCUCAUGGUCAAGCCGCAGCUUGGGGUUGUGGUGAGGGUAGUGGGUAAAGAAGCGCCGGCUAACUACGUG
Molecule: ribosomal RNA, 482 nt
Filed under: uncultured bacterium
Lineage: Bacteria
Description: partial 16S ribosomal RNA
Rfam family: Bacterial small subunit ribosomal RNA
Source: RNAcentral